Molecule: ribosomal RNA, 504 nt
Filed under: uncultured bacterium
Lineage: Bacteria
Description: partial 16S ribosomal RNA
Rfam family: Bacterial small subunit ribosomal RNA
Source: RNAcentral
GACGAACGCUGGCGGCGUGCUUAACACAUGCAAGUCGAACGGUGAAGCGCGUGCCUUUUUGGUGGGUGUUGAUGAGUGGCGAACGGGUGAGUAACACGUGAGUAACCGGCCGUCUUCUUCUUGAUAACCUCAUGAAAGUGGGGCUAAUACGAGGUAUUCCGGGGCUGUCGCAUGGCGGGUUUGGGACAAAUUUCGCCUUUCGUGGUUUUCGUUGGGUGAUGUGCUCGCUGGCUAUCAGCAUGGUGGUGGGGUGAUGGCCUACCGAGUCGGUGACGGGUAGCCGGCGUGAGAGGGUGGCCGGCCACGAUGGGAGUGAGGCACGGGCCAGACUCGGGAGGGAGGAAGCAGUAGGGAAUAUUGCAGAGUGGGAGCAAGCCUGAUGAAGCCACGGCGCGUGAGGGAGGGAGGCGUUCGGGAUGUGAAUCUUUUUCGGAAGUGAAGCAGGUCUGCUUCUGUGUGGGUGGGUUGACGGUAGCUGGACAAGAAGCGACGGCUAACUACGUG